This 482-nucleotide ribosomal RNA is filed under the name uncultured bacterium. RNAcentral describes it as "partial 16S ribosomal RNA". It matches the Rfam family "Bacterial small subunit ribosomal RNA", at positions 30 to 507 of the family's 1533-position model. The record is from RNAcentral.
AUUGAACGCUGGCGGCAUGCUUUACACAUGCAAGUCGAACGGUAACAGGCCGCAAGGUGCUGACGAGUGGCGAACGGGUGAGUAAUGCAUCGGAACGUGCCCAGACGUGGGGGAUAACUACUCGAAAGAGUAGCUAAUACCGCAUACGAUCUAUGGCUGAAAGCGGGGGACAGUAAGGCCUCGCGCGAUUGGAGCGGACGAUGUCAGAUUAGGUAGUUGGUGGGGUAAAGGCUCACCAAGCCAACGAUCUGUAGCUGGUCUGAGAGGACGACCAGCCACACUGGGACUGAGACACGGCCCAGACUCCUACGGGAGGCAGCAGUGGGGAAUUUUGGACAAAGGGCGCAAGCCUGAUCCAGCAAUGCCGCGUGCAGGAAGAAGGCCUUCGGGUUGUAAACUGCUUUUGUACGGAACGAAACGGCUCUGGUUAAUACCCGGGGCUAAUGACGGUACCGUAAGAAUAAGCACCGGCUAACUACGUG